RNAcentral lists this ribosomal RNA (459 nucleotides) under uncultured bacterium. RNAcentral describes it as "partial 16S ribosomal RNA". It matches the Rfam family "Bacterial small subunit ribosomal RNA", at positions 338 to 795 of the family's 1533-position model. The record is from RNAcentral.
CCUACGGGAGGCAGCAGUGAGGAAUAUUGGUCAAUGGCCGGAAGGCUGAACCAGCCAAGCCGCGUGAAGGACGAAGGUGCCAAGCAUUGUAAACUUCUUUUGUCAAGGGACAAAAUCAGGCUCGAGAGCCUGACCGAGGGUACUUGAAGAAAAAGCAUCGGCUAACUCCGUUCCAACAGCCGCGGUAAUACGGAGGAUGCGAGCGUUAUUCGGAUUUAUUGGGUUUAAAGGGUGCGGAGGCGGACUGUGAAGUCAGCGGUAAAAUCCCGGGGCUCAAACCCGGCGAGCCGUUGAAACUGGCUGUCUGGAGAUCGCGAGAGGUAUGCGGAAUGCGCAGUGUAGCGGUGAAAUGCUUAGAUAUUGCGCAGAACUCCGAGUGCGAAGGCAGCAUACCGGCGGCGAUCUGACGCUGAGGCACGAAAGCGUGGGUAUCGAACAGGAUUAGAUACCCUAGUAGUC